This 3713-nucleotide long non-coding RNA is filed under the name Meleagris gallopavo (turkey). RNAcentral's name for it is "lncRNA (ENSMGAG00000017795.1)". Lineage: Eukaryota; Metazoa; Chordata; Aves; Galliformes; Phasianidae. The record is from RNAcentral.
GUUGUCAGAAGCUGUAGCAGUAACUAUUCUUCAGCUGCUGGUUCUCAGUGUUUUUUCCACAUCUUUGUUGUCUUGCUGAUCUAUGAACAAUUGUGUGUAACUGCAGAUCCACAUGUUCAGGUAAACUGUUGUGCAACACUUAGGUAGACCAUGAAAGCAUAAGAUAAUCUAUUUUUUUAAGCCUUAUAGCAGUUUCCUGCUACAAUUUAGACUGACUUACCUGCCAGCAGGCCAUUUGGUGAUGCUGAAUAUGCCCUCCAUGUAGUUUGCUCUUUCAUAAAAAUAAAGUAUGAACGUUCAUCUUUGGGCACAUGAUGAAUUCAUUAACUUAUUGCCUUCUACACUUUAUAGGAUCCCAGUCUGUGUGUCUGAGAGCUGAUUUAAUCAAGAUAUGUCCUGCAGAAAGUCUGCUCAUCAGGGACAGCAGAAGAGUAUAAGCCAGGAUAUUCCCUUGGUCUUUACAAUAGGGAGCUUUGAGACCGGUUGCAAUCCAGGCAUGAGAAUUGCCCAACACAGAAUCCAGCUGUUGGUGAGGUCAAAUAUUUCUGGCAGUUUGGCUGCUUGAUCCAUAAAAAGAUGAGUCUUAGACAAUGAUAGCAAGUGGAUGAGGAAAAGGCAUCAUGAAACGACACCCAUGUGCUCACUGAAUGACCCCUAAAUAUCUGCAAGGCUCGAAGGAAGAAUGACUUUGUUGUUUUGUUGUUUCAUUGCUAUUCCAUCUGCUUGGCACUAGUAGUGAGAGAAUGAACUUCUUUCACUUUUUACAGGGGAGAGAUUCAGCCCUUCAGAAUGCCCAGUCUUUUCCUCAUCAACAAAGCUGUGAGUAGGUUCCUCAUGGCUUAAUAUUUUACCUGUAACAACAUUCAUAGCAAAGAACUAAGAAAUGUGAAUAAGCAUCUCUCCUAUUCAGAAGUAAAACUUGGUGGCUUUUUUUUCUUUUGUGUGUGUUGUUUGUUUUUUUUUAAAUCAAUACCAGAAAUUGACGUUGGGUAUGAUUUAACAUGAUGCUGAUGAGAUGCAAGUAAUCCUGCCAAACACAAGGACACCUCUAUUAAAAAACUAACCUUUGGAAUGGAAACAACAUAAACUCUUUGUCCAAAUGGUUUAACUGAAUAUUACAUUGAUAUUUACCUGAUUUAAUAUUUUUGGCCAUUUUGGUUUUGAAUUCUAUGAAAUCUUUCUUCCCCACCAUCUCCUAGAGUGUUUUUCUCUUUCGAGAAAUUACAUUCCUUAAUUUUUCCACUUCAAAUCCUAGAUCGGUUUAUCUAGACUGAGACUUCCUGCAGACUUUAAUAAUACUGGGAGGUCUGUCAAUUGGUAUGCACUUGUGGUGUUAUUUUUUUUUAAUAUUACUGCAAAAGGUGGUGCUGAAACAUUAUCUUUAGGACCUCAUUAUCCAAGAGACUAGAACUGUAGAACAUAUAAAUAUAUAUUUUAGUGAAGAACAAACUUUCAAAUGUUGUUAAAACAGUCAGUUUAAUAUAGAACAACUGUAACACUGAUGUGUUGAAUGGCAUUGAUUCAAAAUUGCUGUUCCAGAUCCUGAAUGAUUAUAAAUAAUAUUUCUUUCUAUACAUGCACAAGGAAAAAAAACCACAAGCAAUUGGUUAAAAAAAGUUGGUUAAACAGCACAGACAUUUGCUACUGAAAUUCAGGUGUUCUAAGCUCCAAGGACACUCCAAACAUUUUCUAGCUUAAGAAAAUGUUCAGAAAAAAGUAAAUCAUUUUAUAUUGGCAAUUGGCACUGUAGCAUUUCUCUGUUUUCAUCUUACUUUCUAGACAAUUUUGAGAAGUUACUUCUUCCCUUUUAAUGUGCCUCUGCUGCCUCCAGUUAAAUACAAUGCUUGUGCAAGAAAGGACUGUCCUAACGUCUGAAGUUCCUGUGCAACAAAUUCAAUAUAAAUGUUUCUCUUAGUGUGCUUUAAAAGCUGUAAAAUUUGGAUGGUGAGUACAUAAGCUGAUCUUUAACUAGAGUAAGUUUUCCCUUUGGGUGCAGUUGCUUGCAGGUAGACAGCAACAAAUAACCAGUGACCAACAAGAUACACGCAGUUGAGUUGGUGUGAAUCUGAAAUAGGAAACAUCUUAAAAUGUUUAUGGUCCUUCUCCUCUUCUUUCAUCUCCUGGAUUUUAGUGCUGUGUGGUCUGUGUAUAACAAGCAUCAGAUAGUGGCAACAUUCCAUCCCUUGUACCAUUCAUGCUGUCUCUAACAAAUAGAGAGAAGCAAAUAGAAAAAAAAUUAUGCAGAUUAAUUUAAUGAAUGUGGUUUUGAAGAGAGUUUGCACCUAGGGGAAGAAGAGUAACUUCUGUUAAAAUGUGUGUGAUGAUUGUGGUCAAUGUCUUAAUGAAAUUCACUUAAACGAGACUCGUAUGGUUAAGCAGAACAUGUUUUGGGGUCAAUUAAGUGAAGAGUGUCUAAAGGAUACCUUUAAGUGAGAUAAAUCGAUGAAAUGCUACAUUCAAUUAAGAAUCAUAAAUGUGUAACAAACUAAACAAAAUCAAAAUCUCAGUGUACAUACAAGUAUUGCUGAAUUAGUAGAAAGUGUAGCAGAAUAGGAAAACCAGAUUUUGCCUUAUGGGAGAAUAAUAUUACGUGAAGAAUUAUGUUUGAACUCGUAGUUUUAUAAUUUAAGUUUAACUUGACUAGUAUUACAUUUUGCAAUAACUAGAGAAUUAAAUAGAGGCCUCUUAACAAAACAGAAAUAUCUAUUAGAGACGUUCUUCAGAUGAAGAUUUUAAAAGAGGAAAUAAAACUAGAAGAGCAUGAAACUAAAACUGUUUUAAAUACAAGAGCUGGAUUAUGCAAUGGAAAACUGCAUUAAGUCGGGAUUCUAUUCUUAUUAUGAUGUAUAAUUUCAAACAUAUAUAUUUUCAAUUUCUGAGAUUCCUGAACUCCACUACUAAAAUGAAUAACAAGGUUCACUGAGGUUUAUACACGUGAAGAAAGGCACAGACUCUUUUGUUUCUAGAUCCUGUAACAUAAUACAUACUAAUGUGUAUAAUUAGUAUAAUGCAGUGAUCUUUUGUCUACCUGGGUCUGCCAACCAAGGACUUAGAGGUAGUUUCUGUUGUCAGUGUUCUUCAUGCAAUUGUUGGUGUUUUAUGAAGGUGCACACUGUAAAGUAUUGAUUGACUACAAAGGGCAUCAGCAUUCUCUGACCAAAGCCUAUAGAACUCCACUGUGAUGUAGCUGGCCCUGAACACCUACAUCUCAGGAUAUUGACACAAAGAAAAAAAACGUCCACGUUUUACAUAGAGAUUAGGGAUAUCUGUCUUUAUUGAGAUCUAUUUAGACAGAAGAUGAUACUGGACACUGAUAAGUUUUACUGACUGUGUGUUACUACGCUUUCUGUCUCCUGCAAAAAAAAAAAAAAGAAUAAAAAGACAGGGCAGUUCCCAUGGGAAAUAAAAUGUAAAUCAGCAAAAGUGAACUAUUAGCCCAAAUUAUACAAAUUCAGAAUCUUUUGGCAUUCCUAAUGUGUUACUAAAAGAUAAAGAGCCUAUUGAGAUAACUCUAGUUCUAGUCUGUUGAUCAUAAUUGUCUCAGUAUUAUAACAUUCCCUACAAGAUCCUACAUUAGUCAUAACCUGUGCUUUCAGUAAUACAAAACUUGCACUCCUCAAUGGGUGCCUUCUGUGGAGAGAGGGCACUGUACCUUGGUGCUCUCAGACACGUUGUAUAAUGUAAAAAAAAUAAAUAUAUAUAUAUAUGUAUAU